This is a ribosomal RNA of 612 nucleotides. It matches the Rfam family "Bacterial large subunit ribosomal RNA", at positions 361 to 975 of the family's 2925-position model.
AGGUAACAGCCCUGUAGUCAAAACUUCGUUCUCUCCUGAGUGGAUCCUGAGUACGGCGGAACACGUGAAAUUCCGUCGGAAUCCGGGAGGACCAUCUCCCAAGGCUAAAUACUCCCUAGUGACCGAUAGUGAACCAGUACCGUGAGGGAAAGGUGAAAAGCACCCCGGAAGGGGAGUGAAAGAGAUCCUGAAACCGUGUGCCUACAAGUAGUCAGAGCCCGUUAACGGGUGAUGGCGUGCCUUUUGUAGAAUGAACCGGCGAGUUACGAUCCCGUGCAAGGUUAAGCAGAAGAUGCGGAGCCGCAGCGAAAGCGAGUCUGAAUAGGGCGCAUGAGUACGUGGUCGUAGACCCGAAACCAGGUGAUCUACCCAUGUCCAGGGUGAAGUUCAGGUAACACUGAAUGGAGGCCCGAACCCACGCACGUUGAAAAGUGCGGGGAUGAGGUGUGGGUAGGGGUGAAAUGCCAAUCGAACCUGGAGAUAGCUGGUUCUCUCCGAAAUAGCUUUAGGGCUAGCCUCAAGGUAAGAGUCUUGGAGGUAGAGCACUGAUUGGACUAGGGGCCCCUACCGGGUUACCGAAUUCAGUCAAACUCCGAAUGCCAAUGACUUAUC